This 68-nucleotide transfer RNA is filed under the name Ixodes scapularis (black-legged tick). Its description in RNAcentral is "tRNA-Ile". Lineage: Eukaryota; Metazoa; Arthropoda; Arachnida; Ixodida; Ixodidae. The record is from RNAcentral.
AAUAAAAUGCCUGAGUAAAGGAGUAUCUUGAUAGGAUAAAUUAUGUAAUUUUUUUAUUACUUUUAUUA